Capsicum annuum is the source of this 107-nucleotide non-coding RNA. The record is from Rfam. NCBI's taxonomy places the organism in Eukaryota, Viridiplantae, Streptophyta, Magnoliopsida, Solanales, Solanaceae.
AUCUCAUGAUUGGGGCAUUUCAAAAGCUUCUCCUUAAAUCUCCCCCAUGCUUCAUACCAAGGUUCCCCAUGAAAUUGACGGAAAUUUAUGAUUUCAUCCCGCAAUUU